AUUUGGAAAACCAACAAUUGUAAUAUAAACAGAAAAUCUCCUCUCCUUUGUAAUAAAGGAUCAGAAUAAUAUAAAGAAACUUCAACAAAAUAGGACAUCUCUAAUUUGCAAAUAUUCAUAAGAAUGUGGGAAGCAUAGUAGAGAAAAAUCAAGGAGCUUGAAGUUAUAACUGUUGGAAUUUGUAGAUGGAAGUGGUAAAAUGUUUAGAAGGGAAAGUUGGCUGGUCCUGGCCAUAACCUUGCUGAAGAAUGGUUUUUGGCCAUUUGGUGGGACCAGGCAGCUGUGCUUCCCUCUGCCUGCAUGCCACCAGCCCGAGCAAGGAAGGCAAGAUUUGGAAGGCUGCUCUGAGAUCUGCGCUCCCUUCAGC
This is a long non-coding RNA of Fukomys damarensis (Damara mole-rat), 367 nucleotides long. RefSeq lists it as uncharacterized. The record is from RefSeq and is a predicted model, not a curated record. The transcript has 3 exons. NCBI's taxonomy places the organism in Eukaryota, Metazoa, Chordata, Mammalia, Rodentia, Bathyergidae.